GAUGAACGCUAGCGACAGGCUUAACACAUGCAAGUCGAGGGGCAGCAUAAAAGUAGCAAUACUUUGGUGGCGACCGGCGCACGGGUGAGUAACGCGUAUGCAACCUACCUAUCAGAGGGGAAUAACCCGGCGAAGGUCGGACUAAUACCGCAUAAAACAGGGGCACCGCAUGGUGAUAUUUGUUAAAGAAAUUCGCUGAUAGAUGGGCAUGCGUUCCAUUAGGUAGUUGGUGAGGUAACGGCUCACCAAGCCGACGAUGGAUAGGGGAACUGAGAGGUUGGUCCCCCACACUGGUACUGAGACACGGACCAGACUCCUACGGGAGGCAGCAGUGAGGAAUAUUGGUCAAUGGGCGGGAGCCUGAACCAGCCAAGUCGCGUGAAGGAAGAAGGAUCUAUGGUUCGUAAACUUCUUUUGCAGGGGAAUAAAGUGCAGGACGUGUCCUGUUCUGUAUGUACCCUGAGAAUAAGGAUCGGCUAACUCCGUGCCAGCCGCCGCUGUAA
Molecule: ribosomal RNA, 503 nt
Filed under: uncultured bacterium
Lineage: Bacteria
Description: partial 16S ribosomal RNA
Rfam family: Bacterial small subunit ribosomal RNA
Source: RNAcentral